GACGAACGCUGGCGGCGUGCUUAACACAUGCAAGUCGAACGGAAAGGCCCUGCUUUUGUGGGGUGCUCGAGUGGCGAACGGGUGAGUAACACGUGAGUAACCUGCCCUUGACUUUGGGGUAACUUCAGGAAACUGGGGCUAAUACCGGAUAGGAGCUCCUGCUGCAUGGUGGGGGUUGGAAAGUUUCGGCGGUUGGGGAUGGACUCGCGGCUUAUCAGCUUGUUGGUGGGGUAGUGGCUUACCAAGGCUUUGACGGGUAGCCGGCCUGAGAGGGUGACCGGCCACAUUGGGACUGAGAUACGGCCCAGACUCCUACGGGAGGCAGCAGUGGGGAGUAUUGCACAAUGGGCGGAAGCCUGAUGCAGCAACGCCGCGUGCGGGAUGACGGCCUUCGGGUUGUAAACCGCUUUCGCCUGUGACGAAGCGUGAGUGACGGUAAUGGGUAAAGAAGCACCGGCUAACUACGUG
RNAcentral lists this ribosomal RNA (468 nucleotides) under uncultured bacterium. RNAcentral's name for it is "partial 16S ribosomal RNA". It matches the Rfam family "Bacterial small subunit ribosomal RNA", at positions 28 to 507 of the family's 1533-position model. The record is from RNAcentral.